UACGUAGGGUGCAAGCGUUGUCCGGAAUUAUUGGGCGUAAAGAGCUCGUAGGCGGUCUGUCGCGUCGGCUGUGAAAACCCGAGGCUCAACCUCGGGCCUGCAGUCGAUACGGGCAAACUAGAGUACUGCAGGGGAGACUGGAAUUCCUGGUGUAGCGGUGAAAUGCGCAGAUAUCAGGAGGAACACCGGUGGCGAAGGCGGGUCUCUGGGCCGAUGACUGACGCUGGAGGAAGUGAAAGCGUGGGUAGCAAACAGG
RNAcentral lists this ribosomal RNA (256 nucleotides) under uncultured bacterium. Its description in RNAcentral is "partial 16S ribosomal RNA". It matches the Rfam family "Bacterial small subunit ribosomal RNA", at positions 524 to 776 of the family's 1533-position model. The record is from RNAcentral.